Molecule: ribosomal RNA, 253 nt
Filed under: uncultured bacterium
Lineage: Bacteria
Description: partial 16S ribosomal RNA
Rfam family: Bacterial small subunit ribosomal RNA
Source: RNAcentral
GACGAACCGUGCGAACGUUGUUCGGAAUCACUGGGCUUAAAGGGCGCGUAGGCGGCAGUCCAAGUCCGGGGUGAAAGCCCCCAGCUCAACUGGGGAAGUGCCUUGGAAACUGGAGUGCUGGAGGGAGGUAGGGGUCGAGGGAACUUCUGGUGGAGCGGUGAAAUGCGUUGAUAUCAGAAGGAACGCCGGUGGCGAAAGCGCUCGACUGGACCUUUUCUGACGCUGAGGCGCGAAAGCUAGGGGAGCAAACGGG